GCUACGGAUUAUUACCAGUCCCAUCCACCGCCACCGAGGAAGCUGACGGAGAUGAGAACUACUGCUGCUCUUAUUCCUAAUUGAUUUGAUGUCUUAGUAUAUUGCAUCUCAACUUUUAAUUUUAAUUCCAACUUAUGUCUUCUCAAUCUAUCAUCAAAAGAGCAAGUUCAAACUUGUAUUAUCAAUUUGUAAGAUGAAAAUUUGUGUGCUAAGUAAAAUAAUGCUUCAUCUCUUUCUCAUGCAUUUUUGUUUACAUUGUAGAAAAGAUAUAUAUACACAGACACACAUGUGGUAACCUGUGUUUACCUUAUUAUUAUUUGAAUCCUUAUAUAGUUGAGGUUGAGUUUUCUUCCCUAUUCGACAAAAUGCAGCAUUUCUAACCGGAAAACGAAUAGCCUCUCUACUCUCUAGUUGACAUGAAUUGCAGUAU
Molecule: long non-coding RNA, 430 nt
Filed under: Cucumis sativus (cucumber)
Lineage: Eukaryota; Viridiplantae; Streptophyta; Magnoliopsida; Cucurbitales; Cucurbitaceae
Description: long non-coding RNA (CSAT_LNC002673)
Source: RNAcentral